RNAcentral lists this ribosomal RNA (223 nucleotides) under uncultured Eubacteriales bacterium. RNAcentral's name for it is "uncultured Clostridiales bacterium partial 16S ribosomal RNA". It matches the Rfam family "Bacterial small subunit ribosomal RNA", at positions 113 to 334 of the family's 1533-position model. The record is from RNAcentral. Lineage: Bacteria; Bacillati; Bacillota; Clostridia; Eubacteriales.
CGACGUGAGUAACCUGCCUUACACAAGGGGAUAGCCUCUGGAAACGGAGAAUAAUACCCUAUGAAACUAUCUUAUCGCAUGAAAAGAUAGUCAAAGUGUUUUAGCGGUGUAAGAUGGACUUGCGUCUGAUUAGCUAGUUGGUGAGAUAACAGCCCACCAAGGCAACGAUCAGUAGCCGGCUUGAGAGAGUGUACGGCCACAUUGGGACUGAGACACGGCCCAG